Caerostris extrusa is the source of this 73-nucleotide non-coding RNA. Lineage: Eukaryota; Metazoa; Arthropoda; Arachnida; Araneae; Araneidae. The record is from the annotation of a GenBank genome assembly.
GGGACAGUGGCACAACGGAUAAUGCGUUUGACUACGGAUCAAGAAAUUCAAUGUUCGAAUCCUGGCUGGCUCG